RNAcentral lists this non-coding RNA (134 nucleotides) under Gordonia sputi. Lineage: Bacteria; Bacillati; Actinomycetota; Actinomycetes; Mycobacteriales; Gordoniaceae. The record is from RNAcentral.
AGAACCUGGUAUAGAGUCGAUCCACGCUGGUUGCCAGGAACCCGGUGAGAAUCCGGGACGGUCGCGCCACUGUAAGUCCGACGGGAAGCGACCUGUCGCGACGAGUCAGGACGUGGCAACCAGGCCACAUUGCU